Molecule: ribosomal RNA, 478 nt
Filed under: uncultured bacterium
Lineage: Bacteria
Description: partial 16S ribosomal RNA
Rfam family: Bacterial small subunit ribosomal RNA
Source: RNAcentral
AUUGAACGCUGGCGGCGUGCUUAACACAUGCAAGUCGAACGGUAAGGCCCUUCGGGGUACACGAGUGGCGAACGGGUGAGUAACACGUGGGUGAUCUGCCCUGCACUUCGGGAUAAGCCUGGGAAACUGGGUCUAAUACCGGAUAGGACCCUGGGAUGCAUGUCCUGGGGUGGAAAGCUUUUGCGGUGUGGGAUGGGCCCGCGGCCUAUCAGCUUGUUGGUGGGGUGAUGGCCUACCAAGGCGACGACGGGUAGCCGGCCUGAGAGGGUGACCGGGCACACGGGGACGGAGAUACGGCCCAGACUCCUACGGGAGGCAGCAGUGGGGAAUAUUGCACAAUGGGCGCAAGCCUGAUGCAGCGACGCCGCGUGAGGGAUGACGGCCUUCGGGUUGUAAACCUCUUUCAGCACCGACGAAGCGCAAGUGACGGUAGGUGCAGAAGAAGGACCGGCCAACUACGUGCCAGCCGCCGCGGUAA